UACGAGGGGUGCGAGCGUUAUUCGGAAUUAUUGGGCGUACAGGGCGCGUAGACGGCGCAUUAAGUCAACUGUUAAACUCCCCGGCCUAACCGGGGGCCAGCGGUAGAUACUGAUGUGCUAGAGGAUGGAAGAGAGAAGUGGAAUUCUCGGAGUAGCGGUAAAAUGCGUAGAUCUCGAGAGGAACACCGAUGGCGAAGGCAGCUUCUUGGUCCAUAUCUGACGUUGAGGCGCGAAAGCGUGGGGAGCAAAC
Molecule: ribosomal RNA, 250 nt
Filed under: uncultured bacterium
Lineage: Bacteria
Description: partial 16S ribosomal RNA
Rfam family: Bacterial small subunit ribosomal RNA
Source: RNAcentral